CCGGCCCCGAUCCAGGACCCCACGGCGCCGCCCUCCUCGCUCGCCAAGGCGGCCGAGCUCGUCACGCGGUUUCGGGAGCAGGGCCAGGCGCUCAUCGCCGCGCGCCGCCCCUGGGGGGAGGUCUUCCGCUCCCCCGCCUUCUCCAAGCCGCCCAACGUCGGCGAGGCCGUCUCCCGGAUGCGCCGCAACACGGCCUACUUCCGCGCCAACUACGCGCUCGCCGUCCUCGCCGUCGUCGCCGCCUCGCUCCUCUGGCACCCGGGCACCCUCUUCGCGCUCCUCGCGCUCUGCGCCGCCUGGUUCUUCCUCUAUUUCGCGCGCCGCGCCGAGGGCGCCCAGCCGCUCCGGGUCUUCGGCACCGAGUUCGACGACGGCACCGUCCUCGCCCUGCUCUCCGGGGUCACCGUCAUCGCCAUGCUCUUCACCGACGUCGGCUGGAACGUCGUCGGUUCGGUCAUGAUCGGGCUCGCCCUCGCGGGCGCGCACGCCGCGCUCAGGUCCACCGACGACCUCUUCCUCACCGAGCAGGAGGCGGCCGGCAACGGCCUCGUGGCCGCAGGCUUCAGCGCUGCUGGACCCAUCUUGCCCACCUAUGUCCGCAUUGGUUGA
RNAcentral lists this ribosomal RNA (609 nucleotides) under Triticum aestivum (bread wheat). Its description in RNAcentral is "partial small subunit ribosomal RNA". Lineage: Eukaryota; Viridiplantae; Streptophyta; Magnoliopsida; Poales; Poaceae. The record is from RNAcentral.